GCUGGCGGCAGGCCUAACACAUGCAAGUCGAACGGUAACAGGAUGUGCUUGCACAUCGCUGACGAGUGGCGGACGGGUGAGUAAUGCUUGGGAACUUGCCUUUGCGAGGGGGAUAACAGUUGGAAACGACUGCUAAUACCGCAUAAUGUCUUCGGACCAAACGGGGCUCCGGCUCCGGCGCAAAGAGAGGCCCAAGUGAGAUUAGCUAGUUGGUAAGGUAACGGCUUACCAAGGCGACGAUCUCUAGCUGUUCUGAGAGGAAGAUCAGCCACACUGGGACUGAGACACGGCCCAGACUCCUACGGGAGGCAGCAGUGGGGAAUAUUGCACAAUGGGGGAAACCCUGAUGCAGCCAUGCCGCGUGUGUGAAGAAGGCCUUCGGGUUGUAAAGCACUUUCAGUUGUGAGGAAAAGUUAGUAGUUAAUACCUGCUAGCCGUGACGUUAACAACAGAAGAAGCACCGGCUAACUCCGUGCCAGCAGCCGCGGUAAUACGGAGGGUGCGAGCGUUAAUCGGAAUUACUGGGCGUAAAGCGCACGCAGGCGGUUUGUUAAGCUAGAUGUGAAAGCCCCGGGCUCAACC
RNAcentral lists this ribosomal RNA (582 nucleotides) under uncultured bacterium. RNAcentral's name for it is "bacterial SSU rRNA". It matches the Rfam family "Bacterial small subunit ribosomal RNA", at positions 35 to 614 of the family's 1533-position model. The record is from RNAcentral.